Molecule: long non-coding RNA, 876 nt
Organism: Trachymyrmex cornetzi
Lineage: Eukaryota; Metazoa; Arthropoda; Insecta; Hymenoptera; Formicidae
Exons: 3
Source: RefSeq, a predicted model, not a curated record
UUAUAUGCAUAGAUAAUUGACGAUAACUUUUCUACAAAAAGUUCAAUUUUUCCCUGUAGAGAAUAACAUUUAAAUCUAAACGUGUGCAAUGCAUUUGUUGAUGAAUAACUCGUGAGAACUCAUCAAUGAUCUGUCAUUAAUAAAUUUUUGGCAGGUUUAAACGUACAAAACUCUUACGAUUGUGCAGCUUUGUAUUUUUUGUUUUUCCAUUACUUUGAAACUCAUACGUUUGCAUGUUCUGCGUGUUCGGAUUAAACGGCAGACAUGAGCGACUUCGUCAUUUGGUCCAAGAUGCAGGCGAAAAGGCCAAAUAGCUUGCGAAUAUUAACGUUGAUGCACGAUCACGGAUUGAGAUGCACGUUAAGUUGGAACUGUACUGCGGAUAAGUGUCGAUUAGUGUAAGAAAUAACAAAAUAACACGUCUUCAUCCUUAAUCGAAAAGUGUCGUAAAACAAUGAGGAAAUGAUCAGUCAAAAAUGGAUAACAAGUCACCAUGUUAAAAGACCUUAUCGUGUUAAAGGACUUCAAAAGGAUAACAUCUUUUUUUUAUUUAUGUGUUGUACUUGGGGGGGUGGGGGGUGUGUGUGUGGGACAAAUCGACUCGAUCCUCAAUUAUUAGGUUCAUUCUCAGCGACAGUGUUUAUCCUACCGUCUCUUUUCCGAGUUUUUUCAUUUGCGGACGAUCAAAUUGUCGCUUCUUCUCCCUUUUGUGUAUUUUCUUGGUUUUUUUCCAGUUUUAUAAUUAUCGCGCGCGCGACGACAGCGUUAGAAUAUAGAACUUGAUACUUUCUUUUUUCGAUUUCUACCGCAGGAAGUUUAUUUACUAGACGUCAUGUUCAAUUUAUUGAUUGGAUGACGUAAGGAUAUACGAUUAUG